CGGCGGACGGGUGAGUAACACGUGGGCAACCUGCCUGUAAGACUGGGAUAACUUCGGGAAACCGGAGCUAAUACCGGAUAAUCCUUUUCCUCUCAUGAGGAAAAGCUGAAAGACGGUUUACGCUGUCACUUACAGAUGGGCCCGCGGCGCAUUAGCUAGUUGGUGAGGUAACGGCUCACCAAGGCGACGAUGCGUAGCCGACCUGAGAGGGUGAUCGGCCACACUGGGACUGAGACACGGCCCAGACUCCUACGGGAGGCAGCAGUAGGGAAUCUUCCGCAAUGGACGAAAGUCUGACGGAGCAACGCCGCGUGAGUGAUGAAGGUUUUCGGAUCGUAAAACUCUGUUGUUAGGGAAGAACAAGUACAAGAGUAACUGCUUGUACCUUGACGGUACCUAACCAGAAAGCCACGGCUAACUACGUGCCAGCAGCCGCGGUAAUACGUAGGUGGCAAGCGUUGUCCGGAAUUAUUGGGCGUAAAGCGCGCGCAGGCGGUCCUUUAAGUCUGAUGUGAAAGCCCACGGCUCAACCGUGGAGGGUCAUUGGAAACUGGGGGACUUGAGUGCAGAAGAGAAGAGUGGAAUUCCACGUGUAGCGGUGAAAUGCGUAGAGAUGUGGAGGAACACCAGUGGCGAAGGCGACUCUUUGGUCUGUAACUGACGCUGAGGCGCGAAAGCGUGGGGGAGCAAACAGGAUUAGAUACCCUGGUAGUCCACGCCGUAAACGAUGAGUGCUAAGUGU
This 742-nucleotide ribosomal RNA is filed under the name Niallia circulans. Its description in RNAcentral is "bacterial SSU rRNA". It matches the Rfam family "Bacterial small subunit ribosomal RNA", at positions 96 to 823 of the family's 1533-position model. Lineage: Bacteria; Bacillati; Bacillota; Bacilli; Caryophanales; Bacillaceae. The record is from RNAcentral.